GCCAGGGUCUCGGUCCUCUCGCUUGCGGGAUGGCACAAUUGGCUCAGUCCCAGAGUCUUGGCGCGGUUGAGCUCCUCCCGGGCGACAGAGCCUCUCUACUUUUCACGUCGUGCCACCGCAAGAUAGCCAGUUCCUCCCUAUGGCGACCGCCUGGCUCUGCUAGACAAGCUGACUGCGAAACAGAUAUAUGAGCUUGCCACCAAGAGUAAGGACCAGAAGGCAAAAAGCAAAGUUUCCCUCUUCUAUGUCCUGUUAUCUCAGCUGCCAUGAGAAGGUGCUGCCUAGAUUUAAGGUAAGCCUUUCUGCUUCAGAUUAUCUGAUUAAGACAAUUCUUCAAGGCUGGGCAGUGGUGCUGCACACCUUUCAUUUCAGAACUCAGGAGGCAGAGACUGGUUGAUCUCUGUGAGUUCAAGGCCAGCCUGGUCUACAGAGAAAGUUCCAGGACAACACAGAGAACUCCUGUCUUGAAAAACAAUAAAUAAGUAAAUUAGGAACAAGUCAUUCCUAUUAUGCCUAAUCCAGUGAAAAAAACCCAUUGCUGUUUUAAUCCGGCUUUAAAAGAGGUUAAUGAAAACUUUGCCUCAUAACUCUUGGGCUGUGCUGAAUUCUUGUGCAGAUACUUCAGAGUUUGGGCAUCUGGUUAUGGGAAACAAAGAAAACCCCGAAUGCACCUAUGGAACCUCUCUGAUUAACCUGAGAGUACAGAAUUCUAAGAUUCUAGAGCAUGUUCCAUACCUAUACCAGUGUCAAGCUCAGCUCCUGACCUUCCUCGCUCUGCAUUCCCUGCAAGCCUGGAGGAGCUGAACCACACAACAGACUCACUGCAGCUCUUCAAAGGCUCUAACACAGGGUUCUAGUUCUUAAGUUUAUUCAUUUACCUUUUCUCCCCCUUUGCAGUGUCCUUCAAUAAGGCUGCUUGGGAAGGGUUAGAAGGUGUGGCCUUGUUGGAUGAUGUGUGUCACUGGGGGGCUGGGCUCUGAAGUUCCAAAAGCCCAUGCCAGGUCCAGUCUCAUCUCCGUCUGCCUGCCUGCCACCAUACUUCCUGCCAUGAUGAUAAUGGACUCGCCCUCUGAAACUGUAAUUAAGCUCCAAUUAAAUGCUUUCUUCUGUAAGUUGCCAUGGUCAUAAUGUUUCUUCACAGCAUAGAACAGUAACUAAGACAGGGACAUUCUCAUUCAAACCACCACACAGAUGGGUUAAUUAAUGCCUCUGCCACCUGGGUUCUUC
This 1227-nucleotide long non-coding RNA is filed under the name Cricetulus griseus (Chinese hamster). Its description in RNAcentral is "lncRNA (ENSCGRG00015033227.1)". The record is from RNAcentral. Lineage: Eukaryota; Metazoa; Chordata; Mammalia; Rodentia; Cricetidae.